RNAcentral lists this ribosomal RNA (406 nucleotides) under uncultured soil bacterium. RNAcentral's name for it is "bacterial SSU rRNA". It matches the Rfam family "Bacterial small subunit ribosomal RNA", at positions 26 to 416 of the family's 1533-position model. The record is from RNAcentral.
AGAUUGAACGCUGGCGGCAUGCCUAACACAUGCAAGUCGAGCGGCAGCACGGGUACUUGUACCUGGUGGCGAGCGGCGGACGGGUGAGUAAUGCCUAGGAAUCUGCCUGGUAGUGGGGGAUAACGCUCGGAAACGGACGCUAAUGCCGCAUACGUCCUACGGGAGAAAGCAGGGGACCUUCGGGCCUUGCGCUAUCGGAUGAGCCUAGGUCGGAUUAGCUAGUUGGUGAGGUAAUGGCUCACCAAGGCGACGAUCCGUAACUGGUCUGAGAGGAUGAUCGAGUCACACUGGAACUGAGACACGGUCCAGACUCCGUACGGGAGGCAGGCAGGUGGGGAAUUAGUUAGGACAAGUGGGGACGAAAGCCGUAGACUCCAGCCAUCGCCGGUCGUGUGUGAAGUAGGUC